AAAAAAAUCAGCCACUUGACUCUUUACCUUGACUGUUGGCUUCCCUGUCUGUAGCAGGUCUGAACAAGGAGAGUAAAAUAAGCCCUACCUUUAAAGCAGUUAAAUUUUUACUAUUGCCAUGAAACAAAGUAUUUUAAUAACUUACAAGAGAACUUUUUAUCACUUGAGUUAUAUCAGGAAAGAAAUACUACAUAAAUAUAAGGAAUAGCGGGAGACAAAAAAGAAAAAAAAUGAAUAUAUUCAUUCCAUCUACUUACAAGGAACUAUCUCUCUGUCUAAAAUAAUACACAGUGGCUUCAUAUACAGGCUUUAUCCAAAAAUUGGCAAGAAAGGAGGUGUCCAAUAAAUGUCUGUCGAAUAACUGUGGGUUCUUAAUCAAAUGAUGUUAUUCCAACACUAAGCUUGAUAAACAACGUCAUCAUGAUUUCAGGCAUAACUGAAGCAUGGAAACAGAUGAACACAUCACACAGCAUCAUUGCAUUACUUUAGAUUCUUUGCCUGAACUGUCCAAAAGGAGCUACUGGUUAUUUCAAAUAAUAUCCUAGAUAUCCAUCUAAAGAAGAAAGAAUAUAUAACAUACGUUGUGAAUUUUCUGCAACAAUUGCUACAUGUAACAACAAUGGUGAAUCUACAUUCUACCAUAGAAAUACCAAGAUUUUAAAAGGAAGCCUAAGAAACCAAGAAGGAUCACCAGAGGAACUAAAGAAUAUAAAUAUGGAAGCAAUAAUUUGUCUAUCAUGAGUGAAUAAGAGAAUUACUGAAAUUAAAAGUUGGGGCAGAAUUUUAAAGGCUACUCUUUUUCCUCUGGGUUCCUGAUUCUGCAGAGGAAAGGAAGAACAUACUGCAUCAGUGUGAAUGUUCUGGAAUGUGCUCAAGCUGCACAACUAAUAUUUCAUGUUGAUUGCACUUGGCAAUAGCAAAAUACAGGGAAAAAUAAAGCAAUGAAAG
Long non-coding RNA from Vulpes vulpes (red fox), 948 nucleotides. The record is from Ensembl. NCBI's taxonomy places the organism in Eukaryota, Metazoa, Chordata, Mammalia, Carnivora, Canidae.